UACGGAGGGGGCUAGCGUUGUUCGGAAUUACUGGGCGUAAAGCGCACGUAGGCGGCUUUGUAAGUUAGAGGUGAAAGCCCGGGGCUCAACUCCGGAAUUGCCUUUAAGACUGCAUCGCUAGAAUUGUGGAGAGGUAAGUGGAAUUCCGAGUGUAGAGGUGAAAUUCGUAGAUAUUCGGAAGAACACCAGUGGCGAAGGCGACUUGCCAGAACGCGCUCGACGGUGAGGGAUGAAAGCUGGGGGGAGCAAACCGG
RNAcentral lists this ribosomal RNA (254 nucleotides) under uncultured bacterium. RNAcentral describes it as "partial 16S ribosomal RNA". It matches the Rfam family "Bacterial small subunit ribosomal RNA", at positions 524 to 776 of the family's 1533-position model. The record is from RNAcentral.